AAGUGUUAAAGCUCUUUUAGAAUUUGUCUAACAAGUUUUGUGGUUUACUAGAAAACCAUA
Molecule: small nuclear RNA, 60 nt
Filed under: Tupaia belangeri (northern tree shrew)
Lineage: Eukaryota; Metazoa; Chordata; Mammalia; Scandentia; Tupaiidae
Description: U7 small nuclear RNA (ENSTBEG00000020469.1)
Rfam family: U7 small nuclear RNA
About the family: Animal histone pre-mRNAs are spliced by a different mechanism than nuclear pre-mRNAs and self-splicing introns. This processing involves the U7 snRNP, which contains only one RNA species: U7. The 5' end of U7 RNA is thought to base-pair to a conserved spacer element downstream of the cleavage site in histone pre-mRNA.
Source: RNAcentral